Long non-coding RNA from Anopheles merus, 758 nucleotides. RefSeq lists it as uncharacterized. Lineage: Eukaryota; Metazoa; Arthropoda; Insecta; Diptera; Culicidae. The transcript has 3 exons. The record is from RefSeq and is a predicted model, not a curated record.
GGUGCAUGAAGACCAAUCGAGCAGGAGCUCUCGGCAGGGGCGUUCGGUGCGACUGGUGCGCGGCCACCGCACGUGUAUCACUUUAGAGUGUUAAUCAUUUGUGUCAAAUACGUUUUAUUUAUUAUGUACAUCUAUUAGUGUAAUGAAUAAAUGCAAAAGUGUAAGACAUAACACACAGUAAACGGUUUAAUAAUAGAGCGCACUAAUGCUAUGAGGGAUCUCGGUGUCAUACUUGACUGAAAGCUAUCCUUUGAUCAGCAAACGGAGGAUUUGAUUACUCGAGGUAAUCAGAUGCUUGGCAUGAUGUUCCGAGUAACACAAGAUUUAAAAGAUCCAAUCUACAUCAAAACAUUGUACAGCAGUGUUAUCCCCGCCCGGUACUCGAAUACGCCGAACGUAUUAUAAUACACACUAUCAGCUAUAGACACAUUGUAACACACUUCGGAAAGCCAAAUCACACCACUUUAACACAUUCAUAUAACACACUUAGCAAAUCAAAUCAUACUAUAACAAAGCAACCGGAAGAAUUCAGGCCCCACCGUUCAUAUAAAAACAAGCCAAAGAGCGACUUCAGUGUGAUCUGAACCGUGGACGUGAGAGUGUGUGUUUGUGUGCUGCGUGAAUUAUUUUUCCUGCGUGAAACACUUUCCAUACUGCGCCAUCCGCGGUGUUCUUUCUGCUUUAUCGGAGGACAAAUUGUUAUCAUCUAAUUGUUUCGAUGUGUGCUGCUACCGCUAGCUGUUCUCCAAACCUCUUCA